Molecule: ribosomal RNA, 482 nt
Filed under: uncultured bacterium
Lineage: Bacteria
Description: partial 16S ribosomal RNA
Rfam family: Bacterial small subunit ribosomal RNA
Source: RNAcentral
GACGAACGCUGGCGGCGUGCUUAACACAUGCAAGUCGAACGAUGAAGAAGAGAAACGCGAACUUCGGUUCAAAUUUCACUUCGGAUUAGUGGCAGACGGGUGAGUAACGCGUGAGCAACCUACCUCUUACAAAGGGAUAGCCUCGGGAAACCGUGAUUAAUACCAUAUGACACAUUCAUAAGGCAUCUUAAGAAUGUUAAAGCUACGGCGGUACGAGAUGGGCUCGCGUCCCAUUAGCUAGUUGGUGAGGUAACGGCCCACCAAGGCGACGAUGGGUAACCGGCCUGAGAGGGUGAACGGUCACAUUGGAACGGAGACACGGUCCAAACUCCUACGGGAGGCAGCAGUGGGGAAUAUUGCACAAUGGAGGGAACGCUGAUGCAGCGACGCCGCGUGAGCGAUGAAGGAAUUCGUUUCGUAAAGCUCUGUUCUAUGGGAAGAAAAGGACGGUACCAUAGGAGAAAGCCCCGGCUAAAUACGUG